Molecule: unclassified non-coding RNA, 247 nt
Filed under: plant metagenome
Description: partial contains small subunit ribosomal RNA, internal transcribed spacer 1, and 5.8S ribosomal RNA
Rfam family: 5.8S ribosomal RNA (bases 199-247)
Source: RNAcentral
UUUCCGUAGGUGAACCUGCGGAAGGAUCAUUAAAGAAUCUGCCCCGUCCUCUCGAGGAUGGGUCCUCUUCUGAACCGUGUAUACAUACCUUUGUUGCUUUGGCGGGCCGCCGUCUCGGCGUUGGCUUCGGCUGACUGUGCCCGCCAGAGAACCCCAACUCUUCUGUUUAGUAUUGUCUGAGUACUAUAUAAUAGUUAAAACUUUCAACAACGGAUCUCUUGGUUCUGGCAUCGAUGAAGAACGUAGC